CGAACCGGGGGAACUGAAACAUCUAAGUACCCCGAGGAAAAGAAAUCAACCGAGAUUCCCCCAGUAGCGGCGAGCGAACGGGGAGCAGCCCAGAGCCUGAAUCAGUAUGUGUGUUAGUGGAAGCGUCUGGAAAGGCGCGCGAUACAGGGUGACAGCCCCGUACACAAAAAUGCACAUGCUGUGAGCUCGAUGAGUAGGGCGGGACACGUGGUAUCCUGUCUGAAUAUGGGGGGACCAUCCUCCAAGGCUAAAUACUCCUGACUGACCGAUAGUGAACCAGUACCGUGAGGGAAAGGCGAAAAGAACCCCGGCGAGGGGAGUGAAAAAGAACCUGAAACCGUGUACGUACAAGCAGUGGGAGCACGCUUAGGCGUGUGACUGCGUACCUUUUGUAUAAUGGGUCAGCGACUUAUAUUCUGUAGCAAGGUUAACCGAAUAGGGGAGCCGAAGGGAAACCGAGUCUUAACUGGGCGUUAAGUUGCAGGGUAUAGACCCGAAACCCGGUGAUCUAGCCAUGGGCAGGUUGAAGGUUGGGUAACACUAACUGGAGGACCGAACCGACUAAUGUUGAAAAAUUAGCGGAUGACUUGUGGCUGGGGGUGAAAGGCCAAUCAAACCGGGAGAUAGCUGGUUCUCCCCGAAAGCUAUUUAGGUAGCGCCUCGUGAAUUCAUCUCCGGGGGUAGAGCACUGUUUCGGCAAGGGGGUCAUCCCGACUUACCAACCCGAUGCAAACUGCGAAUACCGGAGAAUGUUAUCACGGGAGACACACGGCGGGUGCUAACGUCCGUCGUGAAGAGGGAAACAACCCAGACCGCCAGCUAAGGUCCCAAAGUCAUGGUUAAGUGGGAAACGAUGUGGGAAGGCCCAGACAGCCAGGAUGUUGGCUUAGAAGCAGCCAUCAUUUAAAGAAAGCGUAAUAGCUCACUGGUCGAGUCGGCCUGCGCGGAAGAUGUAACGGGGCUAAACCAUGCACCGAAGCUGCGGCAGCGACGCUGAUGCGUUGUUGGGUAGGGGAGCGUUCUGUAAGCCUGCGAAGGUGUGCUGUGAGGCAUGCUGGAGGUAUCAGAAGUGCGAAUGCUGACAUAAGUAACGAUAAAGCGGGUGAAAAGCCCGCUCGCCGGAAGACCAAGGGUUCCUGUCCAACGUUAAUCGGGGCAGGGUGAGUCGACCCCUAAGGCGAGGCCGAAAGGCGUAGUCGAUGGGAAACAGGUUAAUAUUCCUGUACUUGGUGUUACUGCGAAGGGGGGACGGAGAAGGCUAUGUUGGCCGGGCGACGGUUGUCCCGGUUUAAGCGUGUAGGCUGGUUUUCCAGGCAAAUCCGGAAAAUCAAGGCUGAGGCGUGAUGACGAGGCACUGCGGUGCUGAAGCAACAAAUGCCCUGCUUCCAGGAAAAGCCUCUAAGCAUCAGGUAACAUCAAAUCGUACCCCAAACCGACACAGGUGGUCAGGUAGAGAAUACCAAGGCGCUUGAGAGAACUCGGGUGAAGGAACUAGGCAAAAUGGUGCCGUAACUUCGGGAGAAGGCACGCUGAUAUGUAGGUGAAGUCCCUCGCGGAUGGAGCUGAAAUCAGUCGAAGAUACCAGCUGGCUGCAACUGUUUAUUAAAAACACAGCACUGUGCAAACACGAAAGUGGACGUAUACGGUGUGACGCCUGCCCGGUGCCGGAAGGUUAAUUGAUGGGGUUAGCGCAAGCGAAGCUCUUGAUCGAAGCCCCGGUAAACGGCGGCCGUAACUAUAACGGUCCUAAGGUAGCGAAAUUCCUUGUCGGGUAAGUUCCGACCUGCACGAAUGGCG
RNAcentral lists this ribosomal RNA (1797 nucleotides) under Escherichia coli. RNAcentral describes it as "partial 23S ribosomal RNA". It matches the Rfam family "Bacterial large subunit ribosomal RNA", at positions 180 to 2001 of the family's 2925-position model. The record is from RNAcentral. Lineage: Bacteria; Pseudomonadati; Pseudomonadota; Gammaproteobacteria; Enterobacterales; Enterobacteriaceae.